Molecule: ribosomal RNA, 479 nt
Filed under: uncultured fungus
Lineage: Eukaryota; Fungi
Description: eukaryotic LSU rRNA
Rfam family: 5.8S ribosomal RNA (bases 119-272)
Source: RNAcentral
UGCUACCUCUUACCCAUGUCUUUUGAGUACUUACGUUUCCUCGGCGGGUCCGCCCGCCGAUUGGACAAAAUUAAACCCUUUGCAGUUGCAAUCAGCGUCUGAAAAACAUAAUAGUUACAACUUUCAACAACGGAUCUCUUGGUUCUGGCAUCGAUGAAGAACGCAGCGAAAUGCGAUAAGUAGUGUGAAUUGCAGAAUUCAGUGAAUCAUCGAAUCUUUGAGCGCACAUUGCGCCCCUUGGUAUUCCAUGGGGCAUGCCUGUUCGAGCGUCAUUUGUACCUUCAAGCUUUGCUUGGUGUUGGGUGUUUGUCUCGCCUUUGCGUGUAGACUCGCCUCAAAACAAUUGGCAGCCGGCGUAUUGAUUUCGGAGCGCAGUACAUCUCGCGCUUUGCACUCAUAACGACGACGUCCAAAAGUACAUUUUUACACUCUUGACCUCGGAUCAGGUAGGGAUACCCGCUGAACUUAAGCAUAUCAAU